Molecule: non-coding RNA, 1880 nt
Organism: Amborella trichopoda
Lineage: Eukaryota; Viridiplantae; Streptophyta; Magnoliopsida; Amborellales; Amborellaceae
Source: RefSeq, a predicted model, not a curated record
CGUUGGAUGUUACAGUGCGGCUAUACCGGAUAGCGCGAAGCAUUAUCCGGAAGGCAACGGUAAAGGCAAACCACAAACAAGCAUGAGAAAUUCAAAUGUGGGACUCCAGUGCUCCACCCCAACCCUUGUUCGAUGGCGGCCACAGGAACCCUUCCCCUCCCAUUUUCUCUCUCUAUCUCACGCCCAAAGAGGAGUCGACCCUCAUUCUCACGAACUAGCAGUAGGAGGAAUUAUCAGAGGCCUCUGGUCUUUGCUGUAUCAGAAGAGAAAGCAUCAGAAGAAGGAGGACAGAAGGCUUCUUUUAGGCCGUUUGGUUUCGUCACUGAUAAUCCUUCAAGUAGAAGUGCUAUUCAGUUGCCAGAAGUACCAGCAGAGGACGGAAAUGUUGGCCAAAUGCUAUAUAGGAUAGAGGAUAAGGGGAGAGAAUAUGGGUCUUAUGUCAAAGCUGGCAAAUUUCGAUGGUUUGUGAGAGAAACAGGAUCAUCUAAAACCCAACGUGGAACAAUUAUUUUUGUUCAUGGUGCUCCAACACAAUCUUACAGUUAUCGAGUGGUCAUGGCUCAGAUGGCCGAUCUUGGCUUCCAUUGCUUUGCACCUGACUGGAUUGGAUUUGGUUUUAGUGAUAAACCUCAGCCUGGAUAUGGUUUCUCUUACAUAGAAGAGGAAUUUCAUGAAGCAUUUGACAACUUGCUUGAAGCAUUAUGCAUAUCAUCUCCAGUUAUUUUAGUAAUACAGGGAUUUCUUGUUGGCUCAUAUGGUCUGACUUGGGCUCUGAAAAACCCAAGCAGGGUUUCAAAGAUUACAAUUCUCAAUAGUCCAUUGACCGUUUCAUCUUCCAUUCCAGGGUUAUUUCAGAAGCUAAGAAUUCCUCUUUUCGGUGAAUUCACAUGCCAAAACGCUGUUAUGGCUGAGCGUUUUAUUGAAGCAGGUAGCCCAUAUGUGCUCAAGUUGGAAAAGGCUGACAUCUAUCGGUUACCAUAUUUAUCAAGCAGUGGACCUGGUUUUGCUUUGCUGGAAGCUGCAAGAAAAGCCGACUUCAAUGGUGUAUUGUCCCGAGUAGCAAUGGGAUUUUCGGAGGGACGAUGGGAUAAGCCAAUACUACUUGCAUGGGGAGUUGCAGACAAGUAUUUACCUCUAUCAAUCGCAGAGGAAUUUCAAAAAGGAAACCCAGACAUUAUUUCUAUAAAGGCACUAGAAGGGGCAGGACAUAUGCCACAAGAGGACUGGCCAGAGAAAGUUGUAGAUGCUCUGAGAUAUUUUCUUCUUUAGGCCUAAUACAUGUGAAGGCGUUUGAACACAUCAGAAUGCUUCCGGUAGCAAACUGAGCAAGAAUCAAUGGAAGAGUCAUUCUGACCUGCUAACUGGAGUUAUUGCCGCUUGUCUACACAAUCGUGAGCAGAUUGUGUAUUUUCAUCAAGUAGAUUCUUGUUUGUUUUGUUAGAGUUGAAAGCCUAUUGCUUAGCAUAAUCCUGCUUGUGAUGCAAAACAAAAUUGUUAUGUAAUCUAAAUUUCUUCUCCCUCAACAGGAGUUCAAGGAUGUUGUUAUAUGUUCUCAGAGAACUCAGUAUGAGUAUUAUCCCAGGUCUCAGCAGUUACGAUGGGCCACAUUUCCUUAAAGUUACAUCAUGUGGUGUAAAUGUGACAGAUUCUAGUCUUAUGCUGUUAUCCUAGUGAGUGCAUGGAAGUAUCGAAGAUUAUUGGAUGGAGAUCUUUUUCCUGGGUUUCUGCAGUAGUUGCUAGUUGCGUGAUCAUUACUUUUCCCUGUUAAUAAUGGAAUAAAAAUAAAACUUUUGAGGCUUUGGAGAUUCUCGUUAUUUUCUGAACUGAGUAGUUCUCAAUUAGUGUCAAAUGGGAAGUCCAUAUUUCCUUGCAAUACACUC